Nicotiana tabacum (common tobacco) is the source of this 680-nucleotide long non-coding RNA. RefSeq lists it as uncharacterized. Lineage: Eukaryota; Viridiplantae; Streptophyta; Magnoliopsida; Solanales; Solanaceae. The record is from RefSeq and is a predicted model, not a curated record.
UUCAAAUACGUUUAAGGCCAUAACUUUUGCUUCCACCGUCUCUGAAACUCUCCUACUACUUACUUUCUCACUCCUUUGUUUUUAUCUUCGAACCUUUGUGGGUUUUUCCCUUUUAAGUUUUGUUUGCCCGUAUUUGUAGUGCUUUUGAUAUUCUAUUGUUCAGUACCACCUCUGUUUCCUGUUGAAGUAAGGAAAAACUCAGGUUAAAAUCACCUGGCGCUGGGUUCUUCACUGCUACACCCGUGAACUGCUCUUUGGUCGCCCUCAAUGCUAAUGGUGAUCCCCAAGGUUCAACAAAUGAAUGAAACUAUGAUCGUACCCGGAUAGAGAUGAUGGUCUUCCUCUGAUGUCUCCAAGCCGGCCAUAAUAGAAUAGAUAGUUCGGUUAGGAACUACUCAUGAUUCUAACCGUAAUAUAAAGAGCAUAUGCAGAUUGUACUACAGCUUGCGCUGACGGUUCCAAAGAUGUAUAUGAUAGAUGCGUAAUAGCUGCCCAUGUUUGUGCUAAUAGCAUGAUCUAUAAUGCAACUGAAUGGUUUAUCUGAUAUAAGGUUUCAAUUUUUUCUAGACGUGGAAUGGAAUUGGUCCGGCUAAUGAAAAGAACUUCUUGUUACAACUAUAGGGUACCAACUUGGCAAGUUUUCUUUACAUACCAUUGAAACAGAUUAAAAGUUAAUAGUG